AUGAACGCUGACGGAAUGCUUAACACAUGCAAGUCUACUUGAACUUCUGUUUGGGUGGUGGACGAGGGAGUUAGCGCGUGAAGAACUUGCCUCACGGUUAGGGACAACAUUUGGAAACGAAUGCUACUGCCUGAUAUUAUGAUUUUAUGGCAGCCUAUGAUUAUGAAAGCUAUAUGCGCUGUGGGAGAGCUUUGCGUCCCAUUAGCUAGGUGGAAAGGAAACGGCUCACCUUGGCCAUGAUGGGUAGCCGGCCUGAGCAGGGUGAACGGACACAAGGGGACUGAGACACGGGCCUUACUCCUACGGGAGGCAGCAGCGGGGAAUAUCUGCACAAUGGACCAAAAGUCUGAUCCUUCUGAUUCUGUGUGCACAAUGACGAUUUUCGGACUGCAAAGUGCUUUCAAUUGGUAAGAAAAAAAUGACGGCACCAACAGAAGAAGAGACGGCUAAAUACUUGCCAGCAGCCGCGGUAAUACUAUAUGUCACAAGCGUUAUCCGGAUUUAUUGGGCGUAGAGCGCGUCUAAGUGGUUGUGUGAGUCUGAUGUGAAAAUGCAGGUCUCAACUCUGUAUUGCGUUGGAAACUGCAUGACUGGAGUGCUGGAGAGGUAAGUGGAAAUACAAGUGUAGAGGUGAAAUUCGUAGAUAUUAGUAGGAACGCCGAUGGCGAAGCCAGCUUACUGGACAGAUACUGACGUUGAAGCGCGAAAGCGUGGGUAGCAAACAGGAUUAGAUACCCUGGUAGUCCACGCCGUAAACGAUGAUUACUAGGUGUUGGGGGUCGAACCUCAUCGCUCAAGCUAACGCGAUAAGUAAUACUCCUGGGGAGUAGGUAGGCAAGUAUGAAACUCAUAGGAAUAGACGGGGAGGCGCACAACCGGUGGAGCAUGUGGUUUAAUUAGUCGCAGCGCGAGGAACCUCACCAGCGUGUGACGUCUUAGGAAUGAGACAGCGAUGUUUCAGUGUUCCUUUGGGGACAGGUAAAGCCAGGUGGUGCAUGGCUUUGUUCAGUUGGUUUCGUGAGAUGUUGGGUUAAGUCCCGCAACGAGCGCAACCCCUUUCGUAUGUUCCCAUCAUUAAGUUGGGGACUCAUGGGAUACUGCCUGGGAUGAACAGGAGGAAGGUGGGGAUGACGUCAAGUCAUCAUGCCCCUUAUGCGCUGGGCUACACACGUGCUACAAUGGGUAGUACAGAGAGUAGCAAAGCCGCGAGGUGGAGCUAAUCUCAGAAAACUAUUCUCAGUUCGGAUUGUAGUCUGCAACUCGAGUACAUGAAGUUGGAAUCGCUAGUAAUCGCGAAUCAGCAAUGUCGCGGUGAAUACGUUCUCGGGUCUUGUACACACCGCCCGUCACACCACGAGAUUUGGUUGCACCUGAAGUAGCAGGCCCUAACCGUAAGGAGGGAUGCUCCGAGGGUGUGA
RNAcentral lists this ribosomal RNA (1418 nucleotides) under uncultured organism. RNAcentral describes it as "16S ribosomal RNA". It matches the Rfam family "Bacterial small subunit ribosomal RNA". The record is from RNAcentral.